GGCUCUGCCACAGGGACAGGUGUGGAGGGGCUCCCUGUCUGGCCGCUGCCGCCCCUGCCCCGGGCCCGGGGCUCCCCCAGCGCCACCGAGGGGCCGCCCCGCGGGACUGAGCGCGCCCGGAAGCUCGAGCGGAGGAUAGAAGGACAAGAACAGAAUUGCAGCACUGGCUGAAGAUGCCCAGCCUACAGAGUCUGAGAAGGAAAUUUAUAAUCAGGUGAAUGUAGUAUUAAAAGAUGCAGAAGGCAUCUUGGAAGACUUGCAGUCAUACCGAGGAGCUGGCCAUGAAAUACGAGAGGCAAUCCAGCAUCCUGCAGAUGAGAAGCUGCAGGAGAAGGCGUGGAGUGCAGUUGUACCACUAGUAGGUAAAUUAAAGAAAUUUUAUGAAUUUUCUCAGAGGUUAGAAGCAGCAUUAAGUGGUCUUUUGGGAGCCUUGACAAGCACACCCUACUCUCCCACCCAGCACCUAGAGCGAGAGCAAGCUCUUGCUAAACAGUUUGCGGAAAUUCUUCAUUUCACACUCCGGUGUGAUGAACUCAAGAUGACAAAUCCUGCCAUACCGAAUGAUUUCAGCUAUUACAGAAGAACAUUGAGUCGUAAGAGGAUUAAUAAUGUACCAGCAGAAGGAGAAACAUGUAGUAAAUAACGAGUUGGCGAUCCGAAUGUCUUUGUUUUAUGCUGAGGCGACUCCAAUGCUGAAAACCUUGAUUGAUGCCACCACGCAAUUUGUAUCCGAGAAUAAAAAUUUACCGAUAGAAAAUACGACCGACGGUUUAAGCACCAUGGCUAGUGUAUGCUGGAAACACCGGAAUCCAGAAGCAGGUUUACAAACGAAGAGACGGUAUCGUUCUGCUUGAGGGUGAUGGUGGAUGUCUGAAUACUCUAUGACCACGUCCAUCCAGUGGGAGCAUUUGCCAAAACUUCCAAAAUCAAUAUGAAAGAUUGUAUCAAAGUUCUUAAGGACCAGACUCCCAACAGUGUAAGGGUCUUCUAAAUGCUUUCAGGUACACAACAAAACAUUUGAAUGAUGAGACUACCUCCAAGCAAAUUAAAUCCUUGCUUCAGUAA
Carlito syrichta (Philippine tarsier) is the source of this 1065-nucleotide RNA transcript. It is a transcript of the gene named protein FAM49B pseudogene, with no coding region annotated. The transcript has a single exon. NCBI's taxonomy places the organism in Eukaryota, Metazoa, Chordata, Mammalia, Primates, Tarsiidae. The record is from RefSeq and is a predicted model, not a curated record.